GCUGGGUGCUGUGGUGCACACCUGUAACCCCAGCAGCUUGGGAGGCUGAGGCAGGAGGAUCAGGAGUUCAAAGCCAGCCUCAGCAAAAGUGAGGUGCUAAGCAACUCAGUGAGACCCUGUCUCUA
Molecule: small RNA, 125 nt
Filed under: Marmota monax (woodchuck)
Lineage: Eukaryota; Metazoa; Chordata; Mammalia; Rodentia; Sciuridae
Source: RNAcentral